RNAcentral lists this transfer RNA (73 nucleotides) under Neotoma lepida (desert woodrat). It matches the Rfam family "tRNA". From Rfam's summary of the family: Transfer RNA (tRNA) molecules are approximately 80 nucleotides in length. Their secondary structure includes four short double-helical elements and three loops (D, anti-codon, and T loops). Lineage: Eukaryota; Metazoa; Chordata; Mammalia; Rodentia; Cricetidae. The record is from Rfam by way of RNAcentral.
GGAGAGGUGGCUCAGUGGUUAACAGCACUUGCUUCUCUUGCAGAGGACCUGGGAUCAGUUCCCAGCACCUCUG